CCUAAGGUAGCGAAAUUCCUUGUCGGGUAAGUUCCGACCUGCACGAAUGGCGUAAUGAUGGCCAGGCUGUCUCCACCCGAGACUCAGUGAAAUUGAACUCGCUGUGAAGAUGCAGUGUACCCGCGGCAAGACGGAAAGACCCCGUGAACCUUUACUAUAGCUUGACACUGAACACUGGUCCUUGAUGUGUAGGAUAGGUGGGAGGCUUUGAAGCGUGGACGCCAGUCUGCGUGGAGCCAACCUUGAAAUACCACCCUUUAAUGGCUGGUGUUCUAACGUAGACCCGUAAUCCGGGUUGCGGACAGUGUCUGGUGGGUAGUUUGACUGGGGCGGUCUCCUCCUAAAGAGUAACGGAGGAGCACGAAGGUUGGCUAAUCCUGGUCGGACAUCAGGAGGUUAGUGCAAUGGCAUAAGCCAGCUUGACUGCGAGCGUGACGGCGCGAGCAGGUGCGAAAGCAGGUCAUAGUGAUCCGGUGGUUCUGAAUGGAAGGGCCAUCGCUCAACGGAUAAAAGGUACUCCGGGGAUAACAGGCUGAUACCGCCCAAGAGUUCAUAUCGACGGCGGUGUUUGGCACCUCGAUGUCGGCUCAUCACAUCCUGGGGCUGAAGUAGGUCCCAAGGGUAUGGCUGUUCGCCAUUUAAAGUGGUACGCGAGCUGGGUUUAGAACGUCGUGAGACAGUUCGGUCCCUAUCUGCCGUGGGCGCUGGAGAAUUGAGGGGGGCUGCUCCUAGUACGAGAGGACCGGAGUGGACGCAUCACUGGUGUUCGGGUUGUCAUGCCAAUGGCACUGCCCGGUAGCUAAAUGCGGAAGAGAUAAGUGCUGAAAGCAUCUAAGCACGAAACUUGCCCCGAGAUGAGUUCUCCCUGACUCCUUGAGAGUCCUGAAGGAACGUUGAAGACGACGACGUUGAUAGGCCGGGUGUGUAAGCGCAGCGAUGCGUUGAGCUAACCGGUACUAAUGAACCGUGAGGCUUAACCUU
RNAcentral lists this ribosomal RNA (981 nucleotides) under human gut metagenome. RNAcentral describes it as "bacterial LSU rRNA". It matches the Rfam family "Bacterial large subunit ribosomal RNA", at positions 1950 to 2925 of the family's 2925-position model. The record is from RNAcentral.